CAUUCACAUCGCUGUGAUAGCCCAAGUUUUUCUCCUCCGGCUCACCCACCACACUGUUUAGGGGUAGGGCCGUCCUCCUUUUCCUAGAGUCGUUCGCUACGAAACAGGCGAUUACUUCCAGCCUCACAGAACAAGGCGUUUCUUCCCCCAACAGGUAUCCAGUAGUCUCCAAUCGUCUUCCAACCACUAUGGUUUACUUCGUCCCACACAGCCACGCCAGCUUCAGCCUGAGAGGAAA
Molecule: non-coding RNA, 238 nt
Organism: Paramisgurnus dabryanus
Lineage: Eukaryota; Metazoa; Chordata; Actinopteri; Cypriniformes; Cobitidae
Source: RefSeq, a predicted model, not a curated record